UUACGGCCUGGGCUACACACGUGCUACAAUGGUCGGUACAAAGGGUUGCCAAGCCGCGAGGUGGAGCUAAUCCCAUAAAACCGAUCGUAGUCCGGAUCGCAGUCUGCAACUCGACUGCGUGAAGUCGGAAUCGCUAGUAAUCGUGAAUCAGAAUGUCACGGUGAAUACCGUUCCCGGGCCUU
RNAcentral lists this ribosomal RNA (182 nucleotides) under uncultured Pseudomonas sp. RNAcentral's name for it is "partial 16S ribosomal RNA". It matches the Rfam family "Bacterial small subunit ribosomal RNA", at positions 1202 to 1382 of the family's 1533-position model. The record is from RNAcentral. Lineage: Bacteria; Pseudomonadati; Pseudomonadota; Gammaproteobacteria; Pseudomonadales; Pseudomonadaceae.